GAAAAAAAUGUUAGAAUUUCAAGAUUCAAACUCAGAAUUCUGAGAAAAAAACGUCAGAAUUUCAAGAUUCAAACUCAGAAUUGCAAGUGAGUCAGAAAAGUCGUAAUUAUGAGAUAAAAACUCACAAUUACCUUUUUGAUUCUCUAAUUCCAUGGUGGAAACAAAAUUAUAAAAUUAUCAUUUUAAGCUGUAUUACCUCUUUAGCUUUGUGUGAGUGUCUUUUGUUAGUGUGUGUCCCAUAACUAUUCAUUUUAAGUUAUUCACUGUGAAUGGAUGAGUGCUUGAGGUACAUUUGGGCCAAUUUUAUGAGUUUUUUUUUAGCCAGGUGUGAGUGUAAGUUUGAGUGUUUAUCUGUAAGCUUUCACAAUCCACAACCUGUUUUCAGUAUCUUGAUCUGUUUUUGCAGUAAUAGACACUCAUUUUAUUCCUGCAAUUAUGUUUGCUUCAAGAAAGUCACAUAGAUCUACUUCUUCACACAUUAAAACUACUGCUACUAUUUUUCAUACGUGUUGACGACAGGUUAAUGGUAUUUAUUUCUUUCCAAUUUUUAAACACAGCUGUUUUUAGGUAAAUCAGUAAAUAUGUCGGCCCACUUACAUGUGUCUUUGUUCGGUUGAAAUAAUAAAGUAAAUAAGACUAUGAAAGAUAAUGCAUAGACAUUUAAAGUUGUAGUCAUCUAUAAUAUUUGUAAUUUUGUAGUCGACAUAGAAAACAUGAAAAUGUCUACAGAUGUUACGUUCAUGAUGCUAGUGUUUGUAAUUUGGCUUGGAUUUGUGUAAGAAACUUUGUUUAUCAGCUAACACAAACUGAGACCUCAUAAAGUGGAGGAAAUCAUU
Carassius carassius (crucian carp) is the source of this 836-nucleotide long non-coding RNA. RefSeq lists it as uncharacterized. The record is from RefSeq and is a predicted model, not a curated record. NCBI's taxonomy places the organism in Eukaryota, Metazoa, Chordata, Actinopteri, Cypriniformes, Cyprinidae. The transcript has 2 exons.